UACGUAGGGUGCGAGCGUUAAUCGGAAUUACUGGGCGUAAAGCGUGCGCAGGCGGUUUUGUAAGCCAGAUGUGAAAGCCCCGGGCUUAACCUGGGAAUGGCAUUUGGGACUGCAAGGCUUGAGUGCGGCAGAGGAGACUGGAAUUCCUGGUGUAGCAGUGAAAUGCGUAGAUAUCAGGAGGAAUACCGAUGGCGAAGGCAGGUCUCUGGGCUGACACUGACGCUCAUGCACGAAAGCGAGGGGAGCAAACAGG
RNAcentral lists this ribosomal RNA (253 nucleotides) under uncultured bacterium. RNAcentral's name for it is "partial 16S ribosomal RNA". It matches the Rfam family "Bacterial small subunit ribosomal RNA", at positions 524 to 776 of the family's 1533-position model. The record is from RNAcentral.